RNAcentral lists this long non-coding RNA (253 nucleotides) under Homo sapiens (human). RNAcentral's name for it is "HSALNT0323960". Lineage: Eukaryota; Metazoa; Chordata; Mammalia; Primates; Hominidae. The record is from RNAcentral.
GGAUCCUCCAGCCUCCACCACCACAGUAGCUGGGACUACAGCUGUCACAUCUACCUGCGGAAUUCACCUUAUACCUUAGAGAGAGGCUGCAGUCAGUGACAGCUGAUGGGAAAUGCAUCUGUUCCUUUGAGUAAUUCAGCAACAUCAUUACUUCUCAGAAAUGAUAAUUUCUCGCCGGGCGCAGUGCUCACGUCUGUAAUCCCAGCACUUUGGGAGGCCAAGGCGGGCGGAUCACGAGGUCAAGAAAUCGAGA